AUGGUGGGCUUGGGCGUGGGCGUCGGGACGGGGGCGUUGGGCUCCGUCAUCGGCAAGCUCGCCACCUUGCUCGGCGACGAGUACACGAUGCUCAAGAGGGUACGCAAGGACAUCGCCUUCCUCAAGCGCGAGCUCCGCAGGAUGCAGAUCCUGGUGGACACGCUGGCGGACAUGGAAGAGCUCGACGAGCUGGCCAAGGACUGGAAGGGCAGCAUGCGCGACCUCAGCUACGACAUGGAGGAGUGCAUCGACCGCUUCAUGCUCCGUCUUGGGAACGGCGACGCCAGGCCCAGGUUCGUGAAGAGGACCGCUCGCGGGCUCAAGGCGUUGUUCGCGCGCCAUGGCAUCGGUACCCAGAUCAAGGAGAUCAAGGCCCGCGUUGAGGAGGAGAACCUACGGCGGCAGAGGCUAAAUCUCGACAAGUAUAUUGUAAGUCCAACAAGGACCGUGGCGAUAGAUCCCCGGUUAGCUGCGUUCCACGGGGUGGCCAAGGGCUUGGUGGCCAUUGACGGCCGCAGGGACCAGGUUAUCUCUUGGCUGCUGACGGAGGAGAGUGAGGAGCUGAAGGUGGUGGCUAUUGUUGGAGGUGGGGGUCUGGGAAAAACCACCCUCGCCAUGGAGACCUAUCGCAAGAUUGGAGGUAACUACCAGUACCGAGCUUCGGUGUCGGUGUCGCGCACCCCUGAUCUCGAGAAGCUCUUGAAAGAUGUCUUGUCUCAAAUUGAUGAAGCUGCAUUUAGUAAGUGUCAGUCGGAGAGGUGGGAGAAAGAUCAACUAAUCCGUCAGAUCCAGCGGAUCUUGACAGGAAAGAGGUACUUUCUUGUUAUUGAUGAUAUAUGGAUAGAACAUCACUGGGAGAUUCUAAGAGCAGCUUUUCCCGAAAAUAACAAUGGUAGUAGAAUAAUUGCUACUACACGCAUUACCAAGGUAGCUAAGUCAUGUUGUUCCAACUCCGGUGAUCAGCUCUACCAAAUGCCACCUCUGAAUGAUGUUGAUUCCCGAAGACUGUUCUUUAAGAUAAUUUUCCACUCGGAGAACUCCUGCCCUAUUCAACUACAAGAUGUUUCAGCUAGGAUCUUAAAAAAGUGUGGUGGUCUGCCAUUGGCUAUAAUUACCAUUGCAAGUUUGCUAUCCCAUAAACAUCAAAACCCAAAUGAAUGGGAGAGACUCCAUGAUUCCAUUGGUGCUGGUCUUUCAUAUGAGAGUGGCGGUGAUGGAAGAGAUAUGCGACAUAUAUUGUUACUUAGUUACUGGGAUCUUCCACAACACUUGAAGACUUGUCUGUUAUACUUAAGUAUAUAUCCUGAGGACGAGGAAAUCUUGUGUGAAGAAUUGAAAUGGAAAUGGAUAGCUGAAGGAUUCAUUGCAACAAAACGUGGAAAUUUGUAUCAAGAAGCGGAUAGUUGUUUCAAUGAACUUGUCAAUGAACUUGUCAAUAGUUGA
RNAcentral lists this ribosomal RNA (1443 nucleotides) under Triticum aestivum (bread wheat). Its description in RNAcentral is "partial small subunit ribosomal RNA". The record is from RNAcentral. Lineage: Eukaryota; Viridiplantae; Streptophyta; Magnoliopsida; Poales; Poaceae.